ACUCCUACGGGAGGCAGCAGUGGGGAAUAUUGGACAAUGGGCGCAAGCCUGAUCCAGCCAUGCCGCGUGAGUGAUGAAGGCCCUAGGGUUGUAAAGCUCUUUUGUGCGGGAAGAUAAUGACGGUACCGCAAGAAUAAGCCCCGGCUAACUACGUGCCAGCAGCCGCGGUAAU
This 172-nucleotide ribosomal RNA is filed under the name uncultured bacterium. RNAcentral describes it as "partial 16S ribosomal RNA". It matches the Rfam family "Bacterial small subunit ribosomal RNA", at positions 335 to 524 of the family's 1533-position model. The record is from RNAcentral.